UUGCGUAGGCGGUAAGUCAAGUGAAUAGUGAAACCUGGUGGCUCAACCAUACAGACUAUUAUUCAAACUGGCUUACUCGAGAGUGGUAGAGGUCACUGGAAUUUCUUGUGUAGGAGUGAAAUCCGUAGAUAUAAGAAGGAACACCGAUGGCGUAGGCAGGUGACUGGACCAUUUCUGACGCUAAGGCACGAAAGCGUGGGGAGCGAACC
RNAcentral lists this ribosomal RNA (209 nucleotides) under uncultured bacterium. Its description in RNAcentral is "partial 16S ribosomal RNA". It matches the Rfam family "Bacterial small subunit ribosomal RNA", at positions 567 to 774 of the family's 1533-position model. The record is from RNAcentral.